CCUACGGGAGGCAGCAGUGGGGAAUAUUGCACAAUGGGCGAAAGCCUGAUGCAGCAACGCCGCGUGAGCGAUGAAGGCCUUCGGGGCGUAAAGCUCUGUCCUCAAGGAAGAUAAUGACGGUACUUGAGGAGGAAGCCCCGGCUAACUACGUGCCCGCAGCCGCGGUAAUACGUAGGGGGCUAGCGUUAGCCGGAAUUACUGGGCGUAAAGGGUACGUAGGUGGUUUCUUAAGUCAGAGGUGAAAGGCUACGGCUCAACCGUAGUAAGCCUUUGAAACUGGGAAACUUGAGUGCAGGAGAGGAGAGUGGAAUUCCUAGUGUAGCGGUGAAAUGCGUAGAUAUUAGGAGGAACACCAGUUGCGAAGGCGGCUCUCUGGACUGUAACUGACACUGAGGCACGAAAGCGUGGGGAGCAAACAGGAUUAGAUACCCCUGUAGUC
RNAcentral lists this ribosomal RNA (439 nucleotides) under uncultured bacterium. RNAcentral describes it as "partial 16S ribosomal RNA". It matches the Rfam family "Bacterial small subunit ribosomal RNA", at positions 338 to 795 of the family's 1533-position model. The record is from RNAcentral.